AUGACACUGAUGAUGAAGAUGUUUUUGAAAUACUAGAGGAUCAUUUUGGUGCUUUUAACAUGAAUAACUGGAUUGGUAAAGGAGAAUCAAAUAAGCAUGGUUAUGAUGAAAAACCUAAUGAGAAUGCUUCUCAGUUUUAUAGAUUGUUGAAUGAUGCAGAAAAAGAGCUUUAUCCUAGGUGUAAAAAAUAUUCUAAGUUGUCUUUCAUUAUGAAGUUGUUUCAUCUAAAGUCUUUUGGAAGUUAGAGUAAUAAAUCAUUUACUUUACUAUCGCUUGGAAAACACUUGAUGAAUCAUAUAGUAUGGCAUUUGAAUGGACGAGUGUAUGAUGGAGUUCUUAGGUAUCCUACUGACACUAUUGCUUGGAAAACACUUGAUGAAUCAUAUAGUUUAUUUGCUUUAGAGCCUCGAAAUGUUCAACUUGGAUUGGUUAGUGAUGGAUUUAAUCCAUUUGGAAAUAUGAGUAUAUCUUAUAGUGUCUGGCCUAUUUUGUUACUAAAAAGUGGGAAGAGCUCUAAGAAAGAGAACUCCCAUUCGAUGCGAGAUGGCCUGUCAUUCUUAUCACAUAUAAUUUGCCACCAUGGAUGUGUAUGAAAGAGCCUUAUUUCAUGUUAUCAUUACUCAUUCCUGGACCUAAAGGCCCUGGUAUUAUAUUGACAUCUUUUUACAACCGUUAAUUGAUGAACUGAAGUUCUUAUGGGAUGUAGAGGUUGAAACUUAUGAUGCUUCACUAAAACAAAAUUUUAACAUGCGUGUUGCAUUAUUAUGGACAGUUAAUGAUUUUUUAGCAUAUGAAAACUUAUCUGGUUGGAAUAUAAAAGGGACUUUAGCUUGUCAUUCUGUAAUUUUGAUACUCGAUCACUUUAUUUAAAAAAUAGUGGAAAGAUGUGCUACAUCGGUCAUCGUCGUUUCUUACCCAUAAAACAUGAAUGGAGACUACAAUGAGAGUUGUUUGAUGGGUUUAUUGAAGAAAACCUACCUCCUAAGAAUUUGUCUGGAAGUGAUAUACUUGAACAAGUGAACCAAUUUGGAGAACAUGUAUUUGGCAAUAGUGUGAAAAAGAGAAAAUGUUCUAAAGAUUGGCUAAAGAAAAACAUAUUCUUUGAGCUACCUUAUUGGAGCACUUUAUUACUACGACACAAUUUAGAUAUCAUGCAUAUUGAAAAAAAUGUUUGUAAAAACGUAAUCAGUACAUUAUUGAAUUUUAAAGGGAGGACUAAAGAUAAUUUGAAGUCUUGUCUUGAUCUUGAAGAAAUGGAUAUAAGAAAGGAAUUGCAUCCAAUACAAGAAAACAAAUUAUACUUACCAGCUUCAUGUUGUACAUUGUCAUCAGAUGAAAGAAAUGCAUUUUGUGAGUAGUUGAAGAAAUUAAAAGUUCCAAAUGGAUUCUCUUCUAUUGUUGGAAGGUGUGUCGAUCUAAAAGGGAGAAAAUUAUUUGGUUUUAAAAGUCAUGACUAUCAUAUUAUUAUGGAAUAUUUGCUUCCAUAUGCACUUCAAGGGUUGAUGAGAAAGGAAGUUCGAGAUGUAUUGAUUAAAUUGAGCAAUUUUUUUAAGAUCUUGUGCUCAAAAGUGGUUAAAGUAGACGAUAUAAAUCUUCUUAAAGUUGAAAUAGCAAAACUUCUCUGUAAAAUGGAAAUGAUGUUUCCUCCGUCAUUCUUUGAUAUAAUGGUGCAUUUAUUAAUCCAUUUACCGAAUGAGGUUAGAGUUGGUGGACCAAUUCUGUAUAGGUGGAUGUACCCAUUUGAAAUGUAUUUAAGUAAGUAAGUUAAAAGCUUAUGUACGCAAUCGAGAUCAUCCUGAAGGUUCUAUUGCAGAAGGUUAUAUCAGCAAUGAAUGUGUAAUGUUCUACACUAGAUAUUUUCACACUAUAGAAGCUAAGUUCAACUAAAAGAGAAGAAAUAGAGAUAAUGAUCAUAAUCCUUAUGAAGGAAUAUCUAUCUUUAAACCAAUUGGUCGUCCUAUGGGACCAGUCAAAUAAACAAGAAGGCUAACGAUACAAGAGUGGAGACAAGCUCAUCUCUAUAUUUUAAAGAACUGUGAUGAUGGUCUCCUAUAUAUUAGUGAGCACAUACAAGGAUUACAACAUCUUGACCCCAGAAAUGCACAAAAAAAAACAUGAUAAAGAGUUUGUAAAAUGGUUUAAAGAUCAUGUUACUAAAUUAUAUAUCGAUGGAAGCAAGAAAGUUGAAAAACAAUUAUUAGAUUUAUCUCGAGGUUCGUCACAAGAAGAAACAUGCUACAAAUGGUACAUUGUUAAUGGAUUUAGAUUUCGUAUCAAGGAUGAUGAUGAUUUAAGAAAAACACAAAAUAGUGGGAUAGUAGUGAGAGGAACUGAUGAUCAAGAGUACUUUGGUGUAUUGCAUGACACUGCGCGCUAAAACAAAACGGGAAGCCCCUUUCGAUUAUUGAAUUGUAAUAUAUGGGUGGAAACAAUGUCGUUUUGUUUAAAUGCAAAUGGCGGAAUAUCAACAGUAUUGGUAAAGGAAUUAGAAUUGAUGAUCAUAGACUAACUAGUGUGAAUAUAAUGUACACAUUGGCUACAAAUGAGCCAUUUGUAUUAGCAUGCCAAUCUGAACAAGUUUUUUACCUUGAAGAUAGAAGAAAUCCGGUUUGGUAUUUUGUGUUGAAAGUUGAUCCAAGAGAUUAUUACAAUAUCCAUUUGAUCAUAGAUGAAGAUUGUCAAGAAGAAGAUGACGAAGAAGACGUAAAUUGAGCAAUUUAAUUCUUAAUUUUUUUGUCUAUCGUUUAUGUUGGGUAAUCUCUUUUUAACUUUAUAAUAUAUGAUCUCUUAUUUCUUAAACUAAUACUCAAUUUUUAUUAUGCUAUUUAUCUAACUUGUUUUUUUCCAACAAGUUCAUUAUUUGUGUAAAGGAUGAAAAAAGUAAGAAGUAGAUUCAACAACGAUAAUAAUAUAGAUAGUCACGAGAAUACUACGAUUGCAUCUACAUCUAACCAAAUAGUUGAAGAUCAACAAUCUUCAACAAAAUUUAAAGUUGGUUUAGAAGCUUCAUCAUCGAUUACGGGAGAAAUUAGAUCAACUACUAGUCAUGAAAAAAUUCUUAAUAGAGGUAACAUUUUUUUUGUAAUAUAUAUUAUUUGUUUUUUAUUUAUUAGUAACUUACUUUCUUUUCUUUCUUUUUACUUUAGAAUCUUCUUUUAUAGUAAGAAAAGUACGUGGUCUCACACGUAAUCUCAAACUAGUUAAACUACUUCAUGAGAUUAGAUUUGAUGUGUCAUGGAGGAAGAAACAACCCGUUGGAGAUAAUGUUGAUAUCUUUAAAAGCCAAUGCACUAUCUUAGUUAGACAAGUCAACUUUACUCAUUUGCAAGUAAAAAGUUUGAGAGAUAUUGAUACAACAACAAAAAGGAAACUAUUUGAGUUUACAUUGGAACGAUUUAAAGUUGAAGGUCAUGAGACUUCAGUAUUGCUUCAAAUUCACUGAUCUUAUAAUAAUUGGAGAGAUAGUUUAAAGAAAAAAUGGUUGUACAAAUAUGAUACAGUUGUAGAAGCUUUAGUAAAUAUUCCACCAGGAAUUACAAGAGACA
This is a long non-coding RNA of Benincasa hispida (wax gourd), 3545 nucleotides long. RefSeq lists it as uncharacterized. Lineage: Eukaryota; Viridiplantae; Streptophyta; Magnoliopsida; Cucurbitales; Cucurbitaceae. The record is from RefSeq and is a predicted model, not a curated record.